RNAcentral lists this ribosomal RNA (184 nucleotides) under uncultured archaeon. Its description in RNAcentral is "partial 16S ribosomal RNA". It matches the Rfam family "Archaeal small subunit ribosomal RNA", at positions 467 to 651 of the family's 1478-position model. The record is from RNAcentral.
GCGGUAAUACCAGCUCUCCGAGUGGUGGGGACGAUUAUUGGGCUUAAAGCGUUCGUAGCCGGCUUAACAAGUCUUCCGUUAAAUCCAACGAUCUAAUCGUUGGUCUGCGGGAGAUACUGUUGGGCUAGGAGGCGGGAGAAGCCGACGGUAUUCUCGGGGUAGGGGUGAAAUCCUGUAAUCCCGG